This 21-nucleotide non-coding RNA is filed under the name Arabidopsis thaliana (thale cress). The record is from RNAcentral. Lineage: Eukaryota; Viridiplantae; Streptophyta; Magnoliopsida; Brassicales; Brassicaceae.
ACUGCAUGGUCGCCUCUGCGA